This 255-nucleotide ribosomal RNA is filed under the name uncultured Staphylococcus sp. RNAcentral's name for it is "partial 16S ribosomal RNA". It matches the Rfam family "Bacterial small subunit ribosomal RNA", at positions 524 to 777 of the family's 1533-position model. Lineage: Bacteria; Bacillati; Bacillota; Bacilli; Caryophanales; Staphylococcaceae. The record is from RNAcentral.
UACGUAGGUGGCAAGCGUUAUCCGGAAUUAUUGGGCGUAAAGCGCGCGUAGGCGGUUUUUUAAGUCUGAUGUGAAAGCCCACGGCUCAACCGUGGAGGGUCAUUGGAAACUGGAAAACUUGAGUGCAGAAGAGGAAAGUGGAAUUCCAUGUGUAGCGGUGAAAUGCGCAGAGAUAUGGAGGAACACCAGUGGCGAAGGCGACUUUCUGNGUCUGUAACUGACGCUGAUGUGCGAAAGCGUGGGGAUCAAACAGGA